This 441-nucleotide ribosomal RNA is filed under the name uncultured bacterium. Its description in RNAcentral is "partial 16S ribosomal RNA". It matches the Rfam family "Bacterial small subunit ribosomal RNA", at positions 338 to 795 of the family's 1533-position model. The record is from RNAcentral.
CCUACGGGAGGCAGCAGUGGGGAAUAUUGCACAAUGGGGGAAACCCUGAUGCAGCGACGCCGCGUGAGUGAAGAAGUAUUUCGGUAUGUAAAGCUCUAUCAGCAGGAACGAGACAAGACGGUACCUUACUAAUAAGCCCCGGCUAACUACGUGCCAGCAGCCGCGGUAAUACGUAGGGGGCAAGCGUUAUCCGGAAUCACUGGGUGUAAAGGGAGCGUAGACGGGUGUGCAAGCCUGAAGUGAAAGGCGGGGGCCCAACCCCUGGACUGCUUUGGGAACUGGACGGCUGGAGUGCAGGUGAGGUAAGUGGAAUUCCUAGUGUAGCGGUGAAAUGCGUAGAUAUUAGGAGGAACACCAGUGGCGAAGGCGGCUUACUGGACUGUAACUGACGUUGAGGCUCGAAAGCGUGGGGAGCAAACAGGAUUAGAUACCCUAGUAGUC